RNA transcript from Falco peregrinus (peregrine falcon), 3282 nucleotides. It is a transcript of the gene named ATP synthase membrane subunit e, with no coding region annotated. NCBI's taxonomy places the organism in Eukaryota, Metazoa, Chordata, Aves, Falconiformes, Falconidae. The record is from RefSeq and is a predicted model, not a curated record. The transcript has 5 exons.
AACGACGGCCUCACCUCACCAAAUCCCCACCCCGGGCACCCCCCCGCCCCUUCCGCCCCGCCGCCGCUCCGCGCCGUCACUUCCGGCCGCCGCGCCGCUGCCGCCAGGAUGAUCCCGCCGGUGCAGGUCUCGCCGCUCAUCAAGUUCACCCGGUACUCGGCGCUGCUGGUGGGGAUGAUCUACGGCAAGAAGCGAUACGACUACCUAAAGCCUAUUGCUGAAGAAGAGAGAAGAAUAGAGGCUGAAGAGAAAAAGAAACAGGAAGAACUUCAGCGGAUUGCAAAAGAGCUUGCAGAAGCAAGUGAAGAUUCCAUAUUGAAAUGAACAAAGGAUUGGAUAUUAAUUUCCCACAUGGAGAUACAUGGCUAGGCCCUGAAUUGUUCAGUGUUUGGUGGGCUCUGCAUGUUAUUCUAUCAAUAAAGGUCUUGCAACACUUCAAUUGGUAUCUUUUGAGAGAAUUGCACAGAACAGCUGCAAAAAUAACUUACAGAAUGUGACAGGAAGCAUUUGUCACAAGCUGGCCAUUGCUGCAGCUGAAACACCCUGUUGUAUUCCUCCAGCAACAGCCAAUCACUACACCUACUACUCGUAAGUAAUAUUUGUGAUCAGAAAAUACAUACAAUUUAAUGUAUAUGGGCAUGUGGGGGAGGCUGACAUGGCACUGGCUGCCUGAACCAGCUUAUUAAAUGGCUUGACUGGGGAGUUGCUGCCAUCUAUUUUCAGCGUUGUUAUCACAGUAGAUUAUUGCAUGAUUCUUGCAUUUGACAGUGCAGUCAAACUUGAUGGUGAUUUGUUAAGUUAUGCUGAGGAGAUCUGAAGAAUUGGUGCUGGCUCACUAGUCGGGUAUUUUUAAACGUAUCUUUUCAGAUUUAACAGAGGGUCAAAUGUUCCCCAAAACUAUGAACAAGUUACCGUUAAAUUGUAAUCUGCCGCUUUUAUAGGAAGUGACUGGCAAUGCAGGGGACUGAGAUUUUAAAAAGUAGUGGCCUUUAACGUGAAAUUAAGUCUGCCAUUAGCAUGUAAGCUGCUAAGGUACCUCCUCAGCUGUACGGACCUCAGAUACCCCAGAAGGUAAAAAGCCUAUCCUGGUAGAUUGUAGUGGUGGUCUUGGGUUUUGUCACUGUAAGUAAUACAAAUAACUCGGACAUUCAGGGGGCCUUGUUUCUAACUUGGACGAUGGCUAGCUUCCUUCUGACAUUGCAGAUCAGACAGCGGAAGCGGUGAUUUCAGGUCUAAAUCUCUCCCCAGUGAUGGCAGUCUUUCAGGAAGCGUCAUCAUAUGUUUUAUUAUAAUUGCUGUUGAUAAAUACACAGCCUCUUCUAGAUUAUACUUUGAAAGAAAUAAAUCCUUAAACUGCCAGUGCACAUUCUGAACUAAUAAAGCAGUCCUACGGCGUAUACGGGAAUGAAGUAUAACAAAAUUGAAUUUGAAUUGGAAGUGUAGCGUAUCCAGUAACUGCAGGGAAAAGGGGUUAAAAUGGGGUAUUUUCAAGGAAAAAAGAGGAAUAGGAAAAUCAGCUACAUGUCAUGAUUAGGCUUUUGGUUUUUUUACUUGAAUGUAUAUCUCAUGGUAUUGAAAUUACAAGGUAAUGCUUAUGAAAGUAAGGAUACAGACUGGCAGUUAGUUUCAAAUCCUCUUUCUGCAACACAGAAAUAAUGCAUCAUAUCCUGAACUCUCAGGUUAACAGGAUGUGUUGCACACUUAAAAGCCAAUAUUUUUCCAGUAAUUUCAGGAGCUGUAAAUCAGAUCUGAUUUGUCAGAAAACCUAAUGUUUUUAAAACACGGGCGCUGAAUUCAUGUCUGUGGUGCUAGCCUGUAAGCUGUCAAAUGGUGGUAUGUGAAAUAAGGGCUUCUGAAAAACCUCUGAAACUCAACACUUGGGAUUCACCUGUGACUGUGCUUGAGCACAAUGUGAUUAUACACAUUAUAUUUAUAUGUCCUUUUACAUUGGGUUGAAUUCCCAUGUGGGUGGGAAAGGUGCCACAAGCCUCACUACAGCUGCCCCAUGGUGACCAAGUUACUCCUCUGCCACCCCAUUCUGGCCAGGCAAUAGAUAAUUACCAGGUUUGAGACAAAAAAAGCCAAUGCUAAACAGCUAUAGUAAGUUUUAACACUAUUUACAGCAAGACUAAGGUACCUGUGAAGAUCAAGGGGUGAACCGUUGUCCUCAGCUGAGGGAAAUUCUGGGAAAUACAGCCUCAUACUCAGAGGUGCACAGCAAAAGGAAGGUGCUGCAGGCAUGCGUUGCAGAAGUACAGGGAAAAUUCUGACAAUGUGGUCAGACUUCAUUUUAAUAACGGUCCAGACACAAUUUUUUUUCUUUGCUUCUGUGGCAGGCUUGGGUACUCCAUUUCAUACACAUGUCCUAUGAAUAGAAUUUGUGCAGGUGUUUGGGUCCAAGGCUUCCUUUUUUCAUUUAUAAAACACAUGGAAGAGAGGGGCAAGCCUAUGGAAAGUAGAGGUGAUCCAUCUGACUGUACAUGCAGUUUUGGAAGCAGUCAUCCAAAGGUGCUGAAGGAAACCAUUAGGCUUUGCACCUGUGCCAGACUAAGAGCACUUACGAGGUCAGGUGGUGGUGCUAGGGGGUGUAUGAUCAGUCUGCUUGUGGUUGAAGUUCAGUCCCAGUGUUUAGCCCCUGCAAUCCUGAGGAAGCUGAUGGAAUUGCCUCUUGAGGAAGUGGGGAAUGUGGGAACAGAUUGCACAUACAUCUAAAGACUGCUGUGAAAAUGAUGGGCAUAAAUUCUUUUCCAGACUGCUAGCAACAAGACAAAAAAUGGGGUGGAUGUAUUAAAUAACCCUUUGAUAAGUAUCUGCUGUCACUGAGAAAUAAGUGAGGCCACUCACUUGGCCACAUGACUGCACACCAAGCCAAGUAUUUGCCUGCAAACUUGAUGAAAGUUGUGUUUGGCAAUAGAUUUUGAGAUAAUUGGAGAAAGAGCUGUGUUAUUUGAGCCUGAGGCUGCUGCAACCCCCAGCAGCAAGAGCAACCACAACUUGAUGAAAGGUGUAGAGGAGAAAGCAGUAAAGACAAGAGUAUCCAACCCCAGGUGGCAUUACACAAGUGUAAGGUGCCAAGGAAGAAAGCAGGGAGAAAAAGAGACGGAUAGCUCAGUCAACGGACAAUUUUUUCUUGGAAAGAGGUAAAAAAUGAAGCAGAAAGUUAACUUGAAACCUGUUGCUUGAAAAUGCAAAGAUGAGGAAGGAGGCAGCAAGAAAAUGCCUUUCCUUUCAUGUUAUGAGGGGAAAGAUCCUCAUGUUUGUUUUGUGGUUUCCCUCCCAGCA